Molecule: ribosomal RNA, 886 nt
Filed under: uncultured bacterium
Lineage: Bacteria
Description: bacterial SSU rRNA
Rfam family: Bacterial small subunit ribosomal RNA
Source: RNAcentral
ACGCUAGCUACAGGCUUAACACAUGCAAGUCGAGGGGAAACGACAUCGAAAGCUUGCUUUUGAUGGGCGUCGACCGGCGCACGGGUGAGUAACGCGUAUCCAACCUGCCCACCACUUGGGGAUAACCUUGCGAAAGUAAGACUAAUACCCAAUGACGUCUCUAGAAGACAUCUGAAAGAGAUUAAAGAUUUAUCGGUGAUGGAUGGGGAUGCGUCUGAUUAGCUUAUUGGCGGGGUAACGGCCCACCAAGGCGACGAUCAGUAGGGGUUCUGAGAGGAAGGUCCCCCACAUUGGAACUGAGACACGGUCCAAACUCCUACGGGAGGCAGCAGUGAGGAAUAUUGGUCAAUGGACGAGAGUCUGAACCAGCCAAGUAGCGUGCAGGAUGACGGCCCUAUGGGUUGUAAACUGCUUUUAUAAGGGAAUAAAGUGAGUCUCGUGAGACUUUUUGCAUGUACCUUAUGAAUAAGGACCGGCUAAUUCCGUGCCAGCAGCCGCGGUAAUACGGAAGGUCCGGGCGUUAUCCGGAUUUAUUGGGUUUAAAGGGAGCGUAGGCCGGAGAUUAAGCGUGUUGUGAAAUGUAGACGCUCAACGUCUGCACUGCAGCGCGAACUGGUUUCCUUGAGUACGCACAAAGUGGGCGGAAUUCGUGGUGUAGCGGUGAAAUGCUUAGAUAUCACGAAGAACUCCGAUUGCGAAGGCAGCUCACUGGAGCGCAACUGACGCUGAAGCUCGAAAGUGCGGGUAUCGAACAGGAUUAGAUACCCUGGUAGUCCGCACGGUAAACGAUGGAUGCCCGCUGUUGGUCUGAAUAGGUCAGCGGCCAAGCGAAAGCAUUAAGCAUCCCACCUGGGGAGUACGCCGGCAACGGUGAAACUCAAAUGAA